UUUAUUGAACAAAAUUCUGGCUCUAAGAAGCGACGGCGUAUUUGCUCUAUCUGGUCCCAUUUUUCCUCGUUACGAAUCAACGAGGAGAGAGCUAAGAACCGUGCUGUCGUUUAAAUCCUUCACGAUCACGACGUCGUUUCUGCUUCAAUGGAAGCCUCAGAAACUAACACCGCCACCACAUCGACCGCUAAUCCAAACCCUAACAACACUAACUGAAUACUAUCGUCAACACCAGUGUGGUCAACAAUCGAUGGACCACUAGGUCUAAUAGAAGACGAAUCGUUAACCUACGCACGUAGAUUUUACAAAUUCGGAUUCGCAUUCUUGCCUGGGCUUUGGGCCGUCAGUUGCUUCUACUUCUGGCCUGUUCUCUUCGAUUCUCGCACUUUCCCUCGCAUUCGUCCUUGUAGAUCAGCUAGCAGUUGGGUUCACAGUAUUUACAACUCUUCUUCUUUCGUGGGCCUAACAUUUUCCAUUGGAGGGGAGCAACUCUUUGGCCUUGGCUAGGAUAAACUACGAAUGUACAAUGCUGCUGAUAGAUUAGGCUUGACAGGUUGGAUUUAGUCAUAUGCUCCUGCAUGACAGUCUCAAUGUUCUUCCUUACCCUUUCGACUGCGGGGCGUGUAGAAAAACAAGUCAAUGAGACCUUUUCAAAUCCAGCAGCAGACUCCUGAAACAAAGGAGAUAAAGAUAACAAGUUUUCAAUUUCGAAUGUAUAUCAUGUACAGGCUAACUACUAGGAUGUUUGUUGCAUUUCUGCUCUACCUCUGUCAAACUGAAAGUCUUUUUAAAGACAUCUUGAAUGCAUACAAAAUAGUUGCAGAAGAACAAACAAAAGACUCUUUAAACUUUCUCUCCAGUCUCUUUGAGUUUCUAUAUGACACUAUUCAGCUAUCAUUUAGUUCCUUUU
Populus trichocarpa (black cottonwood) is the source of this 910-nucleotide long non-coding RNA. RefSeq lists it as uncharacterized. The transcript is spliced from 2 exons. The record is from RefSeq and is a predicted model, not a curated record. Lineage: Eukaryota; Viridiplantae; Streptophyta; Magnoliopsida; Malpighiales; Salicaceae.